UUCAAAGAUUUUGGGACCGAG
Molecule: non-coding RNA, 21 nt
Filed under: Arabidopsis thaliana (thale cress)
Lineage: Eukaryota; Viridiplantae; Streptophyta; Magnoliopsida; Brassicales; Brassicaceae
Source: RNAcentral